CUGUCUUGCGGGGCUGCAGCGUUUGUUCUUUGCCAUGUUAUGGAAAAAUGUUAGUACCUCACACUAUGCUAUUCGGCUACUAAAAGGUUUUAAAAGUGUUGUGAAAUUUGUCUGCGCUCAUUAUUUCUUCAACUUGAUUUUUUAGGUCCAUGCGAUGUAGCAAGGGCUGCCCAGCACACCAGAGAGUGGCACCUUAGACCAUGCCACUCAGCUACAGAAAUGACCUUGCCAUGCCAGGGACGAACACCUUACACUACACUACUCAGCAACAGGGCCAUACGGUGCAGAGAGGACCUGCCCACGCCGGCAAUUGUCACCUUACAGUAUGCCACACAAUUACAGGGCCAUGAAAAGACAGCUGCAAGAUGACACAAAGCAAGAUGGUUUCCCAAUGCGUAAAGAUUGAACACCAACCUCCGAGAUGUAUCAGAAGAAAGCGCCUGUAUGGAUAGGACACGAGUGUAGUAAUAAAACCAUAUUGCCAAUAUAAAUUGGCUCAGGGUCGUCCUUUGACUGGUUACAACAUAUCCAGGCAAGAAUAGAACGGAUUUAGGCAUGCGGCAUCUGAAUAUCCAAAACUGGUCUGCAGAACAAAAUUGCACGUACGUCGGACAUCCGCAAUGGGAUCCCCAUUGCGGAUGUCCGACGGACGUGCA
This is a long non-coding RNA of Ixodes scapularis (black-legged tick), 656 nucleotides long. RefSeq lists it as uncharacterized. The transcript has 4 exons. The record is from RefSeq and is a predicted model, not a curated record. NCBI's taxonomy places the organism in Eukaryota, Metazoa, Arthropoda, Arachnida, Ixodida, Ixodidae.